CCUACGGGUGGCAGCAGUGGGGAAUAUUGGACAAUGGGCGAAAGCCUGAUCCAGCCAUGCCGCGUGUGUGAAGAAGGCCUUCGGGUUGUAAAGCACUUUCAGUGGGGAAGAAAGCCUUGGGGCUAAUACCCUCGAGGAAGGACAUCACCUACAGAAGAAGCACCGGCUAACUCCGUGCCAGCAGCCGCGGUAAUACGGAGGGUGCGAGCGUUAAUCGGAAUUACUGGGCGUAAAGCGCGCGUAGGCGGUCUGAUAAGCCGGUUGUGAAAGCCCCGGGCUCAACCUGGGAACGGCAUCCGGAACUGUCAGGCUAGAGUGCAGGAGAGGAAGGUAGAAUUCCCGGUGUAGCGGUGAAAUGCGUAGAGAUCGGGAGGAAUACCAGUGGCGAAGGCGGCCUUCUGGACUGACACUGACGCUGAGGUGCGAAAGCGUGGGUAGCAAACAGGAUUAGAUACCCGUGUAGUC
Molecule: ribosomal RNA, 465 nt
Filed under: Vreelandella stevensii
Lineage: Bacteria; Pseudomonadati; Pseudomonadota; Gammaproteobacteria; Oceanospirillales; Halomonadaceae
Description: partial 16S ribosomal RNA
Rfam family: Bacterial small subunit ribosomal RNA
Source: RNAcentral